GUGCCAGCCGCCGCGGUAAUACCGGCAGCACGAGUGAUGGCCGCUAUUAUUGGGCCUAAAGCGUCCGUAGCCGGCCGGGCAAGUCCGUCGGGAAAUCCACCCGCCCAACGGGUGGGCGUCCGGUAGAAACUGGCCGGCUUGGAACCGGAAGGCUCAGAGAGUACGUCCGGGGUAGGAGUGAAAUCCCGUAAUCCCGGACGGGCUACCGAUGGCGAAAGCACUCUGAGAAGACGGCUUCGACAGUGAGGGACGAAAGCUCGGGUCUCAAACCGGAUUAGAUACCCCGGUAGUCC
This 293-nucleotide ribosomal RNA is filed under the name uncultured bacterium. RNAcentral describes it as "partial 16S ribosomal RNA". It matches the Rfam family "Archaeal small subunit ribosomal RNA", at positions 455 to 747 of the family's 1478-position model. The record is from RNAcentral.